AGGACGAACGCUGGCGGCGUGCUUAACACAUGCAAGUCGAACGGUAAGGCCCCUUCGGGGGUACACGAGUGGCGAACGGGUGAGUAACACGUGGGUAAUCUGCCCUGCACUUCGGGAUAAGCCUGGGAAACUGGGUCUAAUACCGGAUAUGAACUCCUGCCGCAUGGUGGGGGUUGGAAAGUUUUUCGGUGCAGGAUGAGCCCGCGGCCUAUCAGCUUGUUGGUGGGGUAAUGGCCUACCAAGGCGACGACGGGUAGCCGGCCUGACGAGGGUGAGUCGGACCACACUGGGACUGACGACACGGCCCAGACUCCUACGGGAGCAGCAGUGGGAAUAGUUGCACAAGUGGGACGAAAGCCUGAU
This 363-nucleotide ribosomal RNA is filed under the name uncultured soil bacterium. Its description in RNAcentral is "bacterial SSU rRNA". It matches the Rfam family "Bacterial small subunit ribosomal RNA", at positions 26 to 387 of the family's 1533-position model. The record is from RNAcentral.